Molecule: small nucleolar RNA, 137 nt
Filed under: Microtus ochrogaster (prairie vole)
Lineage: Eukaryota; Metazoa; Chordata; Mammalia; Rodentia; Cricetidae
Description: small Cajal body-specific RNA 17 (ENSMOCG00000002445.1)
Source: RNAcentral
UCCCUGAGUUCCAAUAGCCCCUGGUGAGCCUGCAGUAUUUACUUACGAUGGUCAAGCCUCAUUGUGGGUGGUGUCACUUGCUUAGAAUCUGAGAUUAUGAAAAAAUUCUAGGAAAAAUGAGGCCCUAGAAUCUGGCU